Molecule: ribosomal RNA, 531 nt
Filed under: Aulacaspis vitis
Lineage: Eukaryota; Metazoa; Arthropoda; Insecta; Hemiptera; Diaspididae
Description: partial 28S ribosomal RNA
Source: RNAcentral
AUCUGGGCGGCGGAAUUCAGGACGGUCGGGCGGGCCUCGCGCUCGUCGGGCCGUUUGAUAUUUCCGUCGCCGUGUCAGACGUCGCGACCUGUUCGUCGUCGGUCCUUGCUCGGAGGAAGCGCGAUCGAGUUCGUUGCGGGCGCGUUUCGGCGCGUUCCGCGGCGAAGACGCGACUCUCUGGCUGACGACGGACAGUAAGCAACGGUGUCCGGCGUCGUGUCUCGCACUCGGCGUCGGUGCCGGUCAGCGACGAUUUCUUCGGGCCUCUUUCCGACCCGUCUUGAAACACGGACCAAGGAGUCUAACAUGCGCGCGAGUCGCGGGGUUUCGAGCGUGCCACGGUGCGCUCGUUACUUCCGAAACCCGUACGUUGAAGGCGUAAUGAAAGUGAAUAGGGAAGAUGGCGUUCCGAGUCCACGUACCGUGAUCGAGUAUCGCGGCCGGACGUCCGCACUCCCGGGGCGUCUCAAUGGCUCGCCACGGAUGCGGACGGUCGUCUUUCGGGGCGGCCGUCGGUCUGUGGCGGUCCGA